Long non-coding RNA from Gorilla gorilla gorilla (western lowland gorilla), 399 nucleotides. RefSeq lists it as uncharacterized. The transcript has 3 exons. The record is from RefSeq and is a predicted model, not a curated record. Lineage: Eukaryota; Metazoa; Chordata; Mammalia; Primates; Hominidae.
AUCCAGUAUGUAACUCUUCAGACUAGCUUAUUUUAUUUAACAAUGACGUUUAAGAUUCGUCUGUGUUUUCAGUGGUUUGAUAGCAUAUUUCUUUUUAUCAUUAAAUGUUAAUAUUCUACUGAUGAGUGUUCCACUGAAUAAUAAUAUUUCAUUGGACAGUAACUUACAGUAUGUUUAUCCAUUCACCUAUUGAAUAACAUCUCGGUUGCUUCCAGUUUGGGAUCAUUUUGGAUAACGCUGCUCAAUGAAUAAGAGUUCCUGUUGCUCCGCAUCCUCCCCAGCAGUCGGUAUUGUCAGAUUUUUGGAUUUGAGCCACUCUAAUAGAACCUCAGAUGUCUAAUGUGGAACAAGGGGAUCAAAAUAGCCAACAAAAGCCUGGGAUGAAGAUUAAGCAAGGUA